This 253-nucleotide ribosomal RNA is filed under the name uncultured bacterium. RNAcentral's name for it is "partial 16S ribosomal RNA". It matches the Rfam family "Bacterial small subunit ribosomal RNA", at positions 524 to 776 of the family's 1533-position model. The record is from RNAcentral.
UACGAAGGGGGCUAGCGUUGCUCGGAAUCACUGGGCGUAAAGCGCACGUAGGCGGCUUUUUAAGUCGGUGGUGAAAUCCUGGAGCUCAACUCCAGAACUGCCUCCGAUACUGAAAGGCUCGAGUCCGGGAGAGGGAUGUGGAAUUCCAGGUGUAGCGGUGAAAUGCGUAGAUAUCUGGAGGAACACCGGUGGCGAAGGCGACAUCCUGGACCGGUAUUGACGCUGAGGCGCGAAAGCCAGGGGAGCAAACGGG